UGGGGAAUAUUGGCACAAUGGGCGCAAGCCUGAUGCAGCAACGCCGCGUGAGGGAUGACGGCCUUCGGGCUUGGUAAAACCUCUUUUUAGUAGGGAAGAAGCGAAAGUGACGGUACCUGCAGAAAAAGCACCGGCUAACUACGUGCCAGCAGCCGCGGUAAUACGUAGGGUGCGAGCGUUGUCCGGAAUUAUUGGGCGUAAAGAGCUCGUAGGCGGUCUGUCGCGUCUGCUGUGAAAACCCGAGGCUCAACCUCGGGCCUGCAGUGGGUACGGGCAGACUAGAGUGCGGUAGGGGAGAAUGGAAUUCCUGGUGUAGCGGUGGAAUGCGCAGAUAUCAGGAGGAACACCGAUGGCGAAGGCAGUUCUCUGGGCCGUAACUGACGCUGAGGAGCGAAAGCGUGGGGAGCGAACAGGAUUAGAUACCCUGGUAGUCCACGCCGUAAACGUUGGGCGCUAGAUGUGGGGACCAUUCCACGGUUUCCGUGUCGCAGCUAACGCAUUAAGCGCCCCGCCUGGGGAGUACGGCCGCAAGGCUAAAA
Molecule: ribosomal RNA, 539 nt
Filed under: uncultured bacterium
Lineage: Bacteria
Description: partial 16S ribosomal RNA
Rfam family: Bacterial small subunit ribosomal RNA
Source: RNAcentral